UCCAGACUCCUACGGGAGGCAGCAGUGGGGGAUAUUGCACAAUGGGGGGAACCCUGAUGCAGCGACGCCGCGUGGGUGAAGGAGCGUUUCGGCGCGUAAAGCCCUAUCGGCAGGGAAGAAGGAGGACGGUACCUGACUAAGAAGCCCCGGCUAACUACGUGCCAGCAGCCGCGGUAAUACGUAGGGGGCAAGCGUUAUCCGGAUUUACUGGGUGUAAAGGGGGCGCAGACGGCAGCGCAAGCCAGGAGUGAAAGCCCGGGGCCCAACCCCGGGACUGCUCUUGGAACUGCGCGGCUGGAGUGCAGGAGGGGCAGGCGGAAUUCCUGGUGUAGCGGUGAAAUGCGUAGAUAUCAGGAGGAACACCGGUGGCGAAGGCGGCCUGCUGGACUGCAACUGACGUUGAGGCCCGAAAGCGUGGGGAGCAAACAGGAUUAGAUACCCCCGUAGUC
RNAcentral lists this ribosomal RNA (449 nucleotides) under uncultured bacterium. RNAcentral describes it as "partial 16S ribosomal RNA". It matches the Rfam family "Bacterial small subunit ribosomal RNA", at positions 330 to 795 of the family's 1533-position model. The record is from RNAcentral.